UGUGUAGGCGGCUUUUUAAGUUUGGUGUGAAAUCUCCCGGCUCAACUGGGAGGGUGCGCCGAAUACUGAAAGGCUUCGAGUGCGGGAGAGGAGAGUGGAAUUCCUGGUGUAGCGGUGAAAUGCGUAGAUAUCAGGAGGAACACCGGUGGUGUAGAUGGCUCUCUGGACCGCAACUGACGCUGAGACACGAAAGCGUGGGUAGCAAACAGGAUUAGAUACCCUGGUAGUCCACGCCCUAAACGAUGCAUAUUUGGUGUGGGUCAUUCAGUUGAUCCGUGCCGGAGCUAACGCGUUAAAUAUGCCGCCUGGGGAGUACAGUCGCAAGGCUAGAA
Molecule: ribosomal RNA, 332 nt
Filed under: uncultured bacterium
Lineage: Bacteria
Description: bacterial SSU rRNA
Rfam family: Bacterial small subunit ribosomal RNA
Source: RNAcentral